RNAcentral lists this ribosomal RNA (301 nucleotides) under uncultured bacterium. Its description in RNAcentral is "partial 16S ribosomal RNA". It matches the Rfam family "Bacterial small subunit ribosomal RNA", at positions 509 to 807 of the family's 1533-position model. The record is from RNAcentral.
CAGCCGCCGCGGGAAUACGUAGGUGGCAAGCGUUGUCCGGAAUUAUUGGGCGUAAAGGGCUCGCAGGCGGUUUCUUAAGUCUGAUGUGAAAGCCCCCGGCUCAACCGGGGAGGGUCAUUGGAAACUGGGAAACUUGAGUGCAGAAGAGGAGAGUGGAACUCCACGUGUAGCGGUGAAAUGCGUAGAGAUGUGGAGGAACACCAGUGGCGAAGGCGACUCUCUGGUCUGUAACUGACGCUGAGGAGCUAAAGCGUGGGGAGCGAACAGGAUUAGAUACCCCCGUAGUCCCUGUCUCUUAUAC